Non-coding RNA from Blautia sp. CAG:37, 175 nucleotides. Lineage: Bacteria; Bacillati; Bacillota; Clostridia; Lachnospirales; Lachnospiraceae. The record is from Rfam.
UUCGGCAAUAGAGGCGCGAAGGCUAAGAGUAGCUGUCCUGAGACAACGGGGUCUGGGACGGGCAGGGAAAGGAGCAUUCGCCGAAACGGGGCAGUUCCCGAAAAACUGUCUGCGUUGGGGUACAGUCGAACAGGCUGUGCACUCUCACCGUACUGGUGGAGGAGCUAUUGCUUCA